UGGGGAAUAUUGCACAAUGGGCGCAAGCCUGAUGCAGCCAUGCCGCGUGUAUGAAGAAGGCCUUCGGGUUGUAAAGUACUUUCAGCGGGGAGGAAGGGAGUAAAGUUAAUACCUUUGCUCAUUGACGUUACCCGCAGAAGAAGCACCGGCUAACUCCGUGCCAGCAGCCGCGGUAAUACGGAGGGUGCAAGCGUUAAUCGGAAUUACUGGGCGUAAAGCGCACGCAGGCGGUUUGUUAAGUCAGAUGUGAAAUCCCCGGGCUCAACCUGGGAACUGCAUCUGAUACUGGCAAGCUUGAGUCUCGUAGAGGGGGGUAGAAUUCCAGGUGUAGCGGUGAAAUGCGUAGAGAUCUGGAGGAAUACCGGUGGCGAAGGCGGCCCCAUGGACGAAGACUGACGCUCAGGUGCGAAAGCGUGGGGAGCAAACAGG
Molecule: ribosomal RNA, 429 nt
Filed under: Chloroflexota bacterium
Lineage: Bacteria; Bacillati; Chloroflexota
Description: Chloroflexi bacterium partial 16S ribosomal RNA
Rfam family: Bacterial small subunit ribosomal RNA
Source: RNAcentral